Long non-coding RNA from Lolium rigidum, 2130 nucleotides. RefSeq lists it as uncharacterized. Lineage: Eukaryota; Viridiplantae; Streptophyta; Magnoliopsida; Poales; Poaceae. The record is from RefSeq and is a predicted model, not a curated record. The transcript has 14 exons.
CUUGGGGCACCGCUGGCCUGGAGGAGGAGCUGCAGCCAUGGGAGCCUCGAUCGUCCUGUCAAGGUGCCCAGCCCAGCCGAAACCCCUCUCCCUCCCCCUCCCCUCUCGCUAUGGAUUGAUUAUGAAAUACCUCUUGUGUUGUUCAUUGAUCUGCAUGUUUACUAGUUUUUAGUUACCUUGCUUGCUGAUCUUGCGCUUCGGCAUGGAGCAAAUCAACUACUGGUUUUUGGUUUACCUGGUCAGGUUUACUUGUGUUGUGGCGGCAGGGAAGCGCGCCCCCGGCCAGCCAGCCGGGAACAGACAGGUGACUGCGUGGAUGCAUAUGACACCGGGUUGGAACUUCUCUUAAUUCGUUUUUAGCUCUUCUCCUCCGCUUGUGAUCUCUAUCAUUUGUACAGGUGAUAGCAUGGAGAGGAUAGUCCGUUCGUGCCCAACAUCGAGGCACGGUGCUUCUGGCUGCACCUCCUUGAGUAUUUCCAGCAAAUCUGCACUAUAUGUUAUAUCUGUGGCACAGCAUCGUCGACAGCAUGGCAGCGGCGCUCUUCUGGCCUGUUUAGAAAGCUUUGGUACAUGGCAUGGUACCACAGCGGACUGUACUUCACAAUAUACAUUUCUGGAAUAAGGCGUUGCAAUAUGAGACAGUCAAUUAAGAUCCGAUGAUGACCCUGAAAAUUCAGAGUUUAUCAAGUUAACUUGGGUGCCGAGGAGAUUUUACGUUCAUUGCUACUGAGCAUGCUAAUGUCCAUUGCUACUGAGCAUGCUAAUGUCCACUUGCCAUGGAAGUGAGGUAGUGCUCACAAUGUGUUUGCCACUGAGCAUGCUACUGAGCAGGGACAAACGUUGCAAGGUUGUGAUUAAUAUGCCUGAGCAGCAGAUGGAGAAGCUGCUGGAGAUGCUGCUGUGUCCACCAGCUACUAGAGAUGUUGCUGUGUGGAUCUGUUGUCAGAAUUGGAGAAGCAAGAAUAUUUUCAGAUAUUUUUUGAAUUGAGGAGACAACCCAUGGUUUGCUAGGUGUCGCUUGUGCUGCUUAUAGGUGCCUCGACGGCGGCGUCUGCUCGACCUGCAGCCUGCAGGUUGGUCCUCCUCGGCCACCAAGUCGUGCUCGCCUCUCCUCGGAGCAGCUCGCUGGUCGCCGCCCCAUCUUGCCGCUGGCGAGUACGUGGUUGCAUGUUGAAGGUCCUCCAGCCGCCAUCCUCUUGCAGCGAACCUCCAACCGGUCCUCCACAUCUAAGCAAGAUGUGUCAUGGAAGAAGAUGAAGUUAUAGAGAAGAUUAGGCCUUGAUGUUCUACAGCAAGGUGGUGUAUUGGAUUCAGUGGUGUGAGAUAUGGUUCUGCUGCUCACCAAUCAGUAGAAUUUGUUGUUGAUUUUCCAGGAGACACUGAGAAGGUCGUAGGGGACUGGGUGGCGGUGCUCCAAGCCAGCAGGGGGCUGGGUGGCAGUGUUCCACAUCAGUAGAACACUACUUAAUUUGCCUUUACAAAUUCUCGGAACUUAAGUAUGGGUGACGGCCUGCUUUUCGACAUAGAAGAAUACCAUAAGGAAAUGCUGUGCAUACCUCGACUGCUCUUCCUUUGGGUCGCCUGUUCUCUGUAUGUGUUUGGUCCAACAUAGAACUAAGAGGUGCUAUCUAUUUUUCAGGUUUCUAAUCAACUCGGUCUGCCUCAGAAUUAAGCUAAAGCUAAAUUUCUGGACAUAAUGCAUCAGCCAUAGGCCAUAGCAGUGCGUACCUCGACUAAGAGCUGUCUACCCAUGCUGGUGGAGGUGGUGGUCUAGCGAAGAAAGCUAGAAACUAAGUUACCCUGCGCCUGCAGAGAUGCUACUCCUUAAGAUCAGACUUAUUUUGCCUAUCCAUCGUCUAAUUCCAUGAUGGACUCAAAAACCUGUCCUUGGUGAUAUUUUUGUUCCGUCGUCCAGGUCUCUGUUGCCGAAUGUCUCAUUGUUGGUGUAUAUUGAGACCAGCUACCUCUGCCUUUUAGAAUCGGUGUUGGUUACACAAAACUCAUCAGGUUAUUGAUGCGUGUUUCCAAACUGAUCGAAACUUAUGUAUUUAGUACUAUUUACAUGUGAUCAAAACUUAUGUAUUGAAUGCGGUGUGAAUUUCUAUAUUGCUUCCCAUGUGUGCUUCAGCA